RNAcentral lists this long non-coding RNA (287 nucleotides) under Elaeis guineensis (African oil palm). RNAcentral's name for it is "long non-coding RNA (EGUI_LNC024788)". The record is from RNAcentral. Lineage: Eukaryota; Viridiplantae; Streptophyta; Magnoliopsida; Arecales; Arecaceae.
CAGUAGGCCCUACGUGGCGGGCUGGGGUGAUGGCCAUGGGUCUACCCCACUAUCUUCCGCAAUCAAUUUCCCUGACCACGAGCGGCCCACUACCAGGCGGUUACAAACGUCGCCAUCAGUCCGUUGCCUCCCCCGCCUAUAAAAGGGGGACUCAGAUACGUUAUUCUUUAAGCUCUUUUGCCUUAUCUCAAAACUCUGCUAAAUUCUCCGUUCGAGCACUCCAUUCUUGUUGAGGCAGAGAACUGACUUGAGCGUCGGAGGGUCUUGCCGGAGCAACCCCACCUCCG